This is a long non-coding RNA of Pistacia vera, 381 nucleotides long. RefSeq lists it as uncharacterized. The record is from RefSeq and is a predicted model, not a curated record. The transcript has 3 exons. Lineage: Eukaryota; Viridiplantae; Streptophyta; Magnoliopsida; Sapindales; Anacardiaceae.
AUGAAUGAUUAAUGAAGUGAGAGAGCUAAUUGGGGAAGUUGAAGAUAUUCAUGGAUAUUUAUGGACUGGAGUCCGUCUCAUGAAUGCGCUUUUGAGUACGGUUAAUCAAUGGUUUAGUUUUACUUGCAUGAAAAAUCAAGUUCCAGAAAAAACCUCAGUUGCUGGAGAUGGCAGUCGUGUUCGGUGAUCUUAACUCAGCCUCUGGUUUAAAGAAACUUGAUGAGUACCUUCUGACUCGUAGUUAUAUUACUGGGUACCAAGCUUCAAAGGACGAUAUUACAGUUUAUGCUGCUCUUUCAAAGGCACCGUCGUCUGAAUAUCAUACAAUUUAGCCUCGCAUGCAUGGUUUCUCGCACUCACUGUAUAAAAACCAAAAUAAUG